ACUAGAUAAUAUAUGUACCUAUGGUAUAAUGAGUGUGAUUGACAUAGAUGAUUAUAACAUAGUUAACACCUUCGUCACGCGUCAUUGCACUCACAAUAUAUAAGGAACUGAACACUUUAAGACUUCACAAAGCAAAUCUGCAUCUGUUUUCAAUCGUUUCUCAAUAAAGACUCAGAAACAACAACGACAAUGGCUGCCCUGAAGACCACAUUCGUGUUGUUACUCAUAGCCUUCGCUAUGAUUGUUGUGACUGAUGCCGUCCACGUCGGGCCCUGCGACCAGGUCUGUUCUCGUAUCGACGCUGAGAAGGACGAGUGCUGCAGAGCUCAUGGCUACAGGGGCUUCAGAAGUUGUCGCGGCGGUAGAAUGGAUUGCCACUAGGCCCUUCUCAUCCCCAAUUUUACCUUCAUGACACUGGUUGAAUAUCUACAGGCUUUCGAAACUAUUCAUAUAUAUUAUUAUUGUUAACACUUCCUGUUGAAAUUGUACGUACCAUUAAAUUGUUGUCCUAAUAUUGUAAGAAAAAAAAAAAAACGUAAAAAAAAAGAAAAGAUAAUAAA
RNAcentral lists this unclassified non-coding RNA (560 nucleotides) under Melitaea cinxia (Glanville fritillary). RNAcentral describes it as "misc RNA ENSMCXG00005006162.1". Lineage: Eukaryota; Metazoa; Arthropoda; Insecta; Lepidoptera; Nymphalidae. The record is from RNAcentral.